Molecule: non-coding RNA, 1041 nt
Organism: Camellia sinensis
Lineage: Eukaryota; Viridiplantae; Streptophyta; Magnoliopsida; Ericales; Theaceae
Source: RefSeq, a predicted model, not a curated record
UCUUUGUAGUUUUGUCAUAAACCUUUUGAUUGCCGCCGAUCGUUUGUUAUUGCUGUUUGAUUUUUUCUGUUCCUGUUUUUAUUUUUACUUCUUACUUCCUUUUUUGGGUAAGAGGAAAAUUCAUGAGAUAGGAACCAACAACUGGGAAAUGUUAUGUAUAUGCUUUGUUUGACUCAUGUUUUAUUGUUAAUAUGCUCCAACAGACAGGUGUUUUAUUUAAGAUGUGCCAAAGCUGAAUUUAAAAUAGAUAGUUGAUAGUUUAUUGUAAUGAAUGAGAACCUUAUUUCUGAUAAAUAAUUUAUAAUGUCUAUUGGGGAGGAUAUGAAUGUUAUAUUGCUAAUGAGAAGUAAAAAGCUUUUUGAGAAAAGACUGACACCAUAAUACGUUUUAAAUUUCCAAGCCACAAACCAUGGCUGUAGCAUGGUUAUCAGAAUUCCAAUUUGGAUCGUAGUAGGAUCUUAAAGUGACUAUAAUCCUAGGCAUAAAAUCCUGUAGAAUCGCAUUACGAUCCCGAUUCUAUUACAAUCCUAAUCCUACAACCAAAAAAAAAUUUAAUUUUUAGUGGACACCCUGUUUUUUUUUUAUUUUUUCGUAAAUUUUUUUUCGUUACACCUGAUUAACUACCAUAUAUAGAGUUAAUUGUAAUCACAUAUUAGUAUUCUUCUCACAAUUCUUUAUGAUGGACCCUCUGCAUGUGAGUUCCUACAAAAUAAAUUUGUGUAUUCUACAAUCCAAGACAGGUAGGAACCCUUUAAGUCCAACCCUUCCCACUCCCAUCAGACAUGAAAAAAUUCCCCAGGGAAAGCUUUGGUUUCUCCAAUUGAGAGAUAUGCAGUUGUUCCUGAUGACAACGUCAAAAGGAUAAAUUUUGCCGAGGGGAAGAUCUGAUUAUAGAAGGAAUUUGGAGCUUGAUUUUUGAAAUAGGCUCAAAAUUGAGAACUUGUUGGAAAUUUUUUAAUUUUUGUAAGAGCAUUUAAAUAUCCAAUGUGCUGAUUGGUGAAUUUUAGAUUUUAUUUUUUUAUUUUAUUUUUUUUUAGGAUU